UUUAUACAAUGGAGAGUUUGAUCCUGGCUCAGGAUGAACGCUAGCGGCAGGCCUAACACAUGCAAGUCGAGGGGC
RNAcentral lists this ribosomal RNA (75 nucleotides) under Proteus mirabilis. Its description in RNAcentral is "partial 16S ribosomal RNA". It matches the Rfam family "Bacterial small subunit ribosomal RNA", at positions 1 to 70 of the family's 1533-position model. The record is from RNAcentral. RNAcentral also lists the same sequence under 1 other name. Lineage: Bacteria; Pseudomonadati; Pseudomonadota; Gammaproteobacteria; Enterobacterales; Morganellaceae.